AAGUCGUAACAAGGUUUCCGUAGGUGAACCUGCGGAAGGAUUAUUACAGUAUUCUUUUGCCUGCGCUUAAUUGCGCGGCGAAAAACCUUACACACUAUGUUUUUCUAAUUUGAAACUUUUGCUUUGGUCUGCCUUAGAAAUAAGUUGGGCCAAAGGUUUACACCAAACUUCAAUAUUUAUAUUGAAUUGUUAUUUUAAUUAUUUGUCAAUUUGUUGAUUAAAUUCAAAAAUCUUCAAAA
This 239-nucleotide unclassified non-coding RNA is filed under the name plant metagenome. RNAcentral's name for it is "partial contains small subunit ribosomal RNA and internal transcribed spacer 1". The stretch from base 1 to 46 matches the Rfam family "Eukaryotic small subunit ribosomal RNA", at positions 1786 to 1831 of the family's 1831-position model. The record is from RNAcentral.